RNAcentral lists this long non-coding RNA (199 nucleotides) under Lathyrus oleraceus (garden pea). RNAcentral describes it as "Pisum sativum (pea) long non-coding RNA (PSAT_LNC041752)". Lineage: Eukaryota; Viridiplantae; Streptophyta; Magnoliopsida; Fabales; Fabaceae. The record is from RNAcentral.
AACUUUGUAAUGAUUCUUGUACGAAUGUAUACAAAGUGUUUAUCUCGUUUAAUUUUGAAAGCGGUUUAGAAAAAUAUAACCUGGCAAUGAUUCUAGUACGAAUGUAUACCAAGUGGUGAUUUUCUAGUAUUUGCAAAGUGUGAGGUAUGAAAAAUGUUUUAGGUUGUGAGCCAGCAAUUAAGAGUUAUACCCACCCAAG